RNAcentral lists this ribosomal RNA (494 nucleotides) under uncultured bacterium. RNAcentral's name for it is "partial 16S ribosomal RNA". It matches the Rfam family "Bacterial small subunit ribosomal RNA", at positions 28 to 507 of the family's 1533-position model. The record is from RNAcentral.
GACGAACGCUGGCGGCGUGCUUAACACAUGCAAGUCGAACGGUGAAGCGCCUUCCUUUUUGGUGGGUGUGGAUGAGUGGCGAACGGGUGAGUAACACGUGAGUAACCUGCCCCCUUCUUCUGGAUAACCGCAUGAAAGUGUGGCUAAUACGGGAUAUUCUGGGUCUGUCGCAUGAUGGGUCUGGGAAAGAUAUUGUUUCGGUGGGGAAUGGGCUCGCGGCCUAUCAGCUUGUUGGUGGGGUGAUGGCCUACCAAGGCGGUGACGGGUAGCCGGCCUGAGAGGGUGGACGGUCACACUGGGACGGAGACACGGCCAAGACUCCUACGGGAGGCAGCAGUGGGGAAUAUUGCACAAUGGGCGCAAGCCUGAUGCAGCGACGCCGCGUGAGGGAUGGAGGCCUUCGGGUUGUGAACCUCUUUCGCCAGUGAAGCAGGCCUGCCUCGUUUGUGGGUGGGUUGACGGUAGCUGGAGAAGAAGCGCCGGCUAACUACGUG